AUGGACUUCUCAAUAACACAAAGCAAUCUAAACACACAAUUCACAACGUCUCAUGAAUGAUGCAUUAUCUUAUUAUUAUUGAAAGCAAAAAGAAUACAAAACCAACCAAACAAUCCAAUAAUAUAAUACUAAGCCAACAUAGUAAAGAAAUCCCAAUGGAUUAAUCAAUCUAGCUAAUCAUGUUCAUUAUCAAAAUACACAAGAAUUUAAUCACAACAAUGAGUAAAGGUAGAGAAAACCCGAUUACACCCUUGGAUGAGAGUAAACAGCCCCAAUUCCUCUUGCUCGAAUUGAAUCGAUUCUUGUUCCUCUUGCUUGAUUUGAAAACCAAUCAACGAACCUCGCCCAAUCUUCAAUCUUUGAAGGGAAUUCGAUUGAAACCUUGAUCCAAGUAUCCUUUUCCCUUGGUUUCAGCUCAGAAAACCCUUAGAGAGAGAAAUAUUAGGAUUUUGGGACGUUCUCCCUCGCUCUCCUUUUUCUUCCUCUCUUUGUUCUUUUAAUUAAUUUUCCAUGUCGCCACCAACACGGCCGUCUUGAUGCCCGUGUUCCCAACACGGUCUGGUGUUUAUGCCCGUGUUACUCUCUAUGGCCGUGCUCCCUAAAAACUUCUUUUUCUUUGAUGUUUCAUGCACUCAACACGACCAUGUUGGUGCCUGUGUUGGGAACACGGCCAGUGUUGAAAUCGACAUGGCCAUGUUCAGCUUCCUCAUGCUCGUACUUAACUUGUUUCGGCAGCUUUGACAUCCAAUUAUACUCCAAUUCUUCCCUUUAUCAUUCUUUGACUUCUUUUGAACCUGAUGCACACAAACAGACGCAUAGGGUGAGUGUUGGGACCAAUUCACAUCCAAAUGUCCAUAAAAUCAAUCUUAAAAAUCUCAUUUAGAUGUGUGUAUCUUACGCACAUCAUCUAACUAUUAAAAAUUUCGAUUUAUAAUGAUUCAGUCACUUUUACUCCAAUCAGCUAUCAUUAUCAUAUUUUUCGUAUUUGAUAAUAUAAGUUUGGAGCUUAACAACUCAAAACAUCUUGUUUGAUAGUUAAAUCGAUCUCGUCGAAUUAAUCAUUUUUUAAAUUGUCAUAAUAAGAAACUCCACCACUUUUAAGAAGAAAGAAAGUUAAAAGGAUAACAGCUCGAUUUGCCCAUAAAUUUCUAUUAAAGGAGCAAAUGUAACACCCCAACUCAAACUUCCCAUUGAAUAGCAAUAUAUAUAUAUAUAUAUAUAUAACUUUAUAGACAUAAUUUACUACUUAGUUACAAUAUACAUUCAUACAAUUUAAGUGGCAUGACAUACUUAAUAUAUAUAAGAAAUAUUUAUACAGUAGUUUAAUUCACACAAGUUCCCAAAAUGCCCCAAUGCUUUAGAUAACUCCUCUGGCCCACCUGAUAAUAUUGACUGAUGCAAAGAGAGUAAUGCACAGCUAAGGCUAUCUACAACUGCACUAACCUGAAAAAAAAAAUUGCUAAGGAAUGAGCUAGCGACUCAAUAAGCAUUUAAUUUACUAAACUAUAGUAUAUUAGGCUAGAAUUAUCAAAUCUUUAUCAAUACAGAAAAUUAUACCAACACUUAACUAACAAUCACAAAAUCAACCAUUUCAGUUAUUCUCAUAAACAUAUAAUUUCAUCUCACGUAAUGCAAAUAUUCUCAAACUCAACCAAGUCAAAUAAUUCAAUUCCACAUUAUUUAUAUCAAAUUAGGAUCAGAUGACUCAUCCUUACAUUUCCUCACAUUUUUAAAUUUCAGUAACCACUUGACAAGACUAUCCGCCCGGCUCAGUCUUGCCAUCUCACAUACUCGGGUAGCUAUCCGCCCGGCUCAGCUUUCCCGAUCACACAAUAUCCAUACAAAAGUCAUCAAUCCUUAAUCACAAUCAUUUCACUUCACAACACAUCACAAUCAAUUCACUUCACAACACAUCACAAUCAAUUCACUUUAUAACAAGCCAAUAACAUAACUAAUAUCAACUCAGUCAACCAAGAAAUUAUCAAGUAAUCAAACAGCAGUCCCUACUCAAUAUACACAAAGUUUAGUCUAUUAAAUACUUACCAAAAGUUAUAGGAUAACAAAAUAAUCCUAUUCUUUUUCUCUUACCACUUCCUUGCCUUUGGAUGAACCUAUUCACAUAUUCAAUACAAAUACAAUUCAAUCACAAGGCAUAAAUAUAUAUAUAUAUAUAUAUUUACUAUCAAUAAAAUAUCACAUUUCAACAAAAUAACAUAUAUUCUAGAUAUUAAUAUGAUGCAUGAGAUGAAUGACAACAAAUCAACAUAUUUGUUGAUGAAGGCAGCUUGUAGGUACUCACUUAGAAAUUACACCAAAACUUAUGUACAAUUAAUAAAAAUCUCAUAUUUUCCAGAAUUACACUUCCAUUUUUAUAGAAACCAUAGCAGAAAGAAUCACCUCAAAAUCAUUGGUAUAGAAAUAGUUAUGGCAUUUUCUAUACAGCUGCUCAAAUUUCCAUCUAAACAGAACAGAAAAAAGUUUCCUAUUAAAUGACCAAUCAAACGAAUGAAUUUUCUGAUGAAACACUCCAGAUAUAAAGUUAACAUUCUAAAGUUUCUAUAGACACUAAUUUUACUCAAUUUGUACUUUUCUAGCUCAAGUUGUGAAACACACAAUUAGCAACAAAUUUCUGAAUCCUAAGCCCGAUUUCUGCUUAAAACAGUUUCGGGCAGGCCAUAUUAAGUUCAAUAUAUCUCACGUUAUACUCAACCAAAAAUUAUGAAAUUUUUCAGACAUAUACUACAUAUAUAAAUGAACAACUUUCAUGUUUAACUCUCUGCUUGGUUCAGCCUCUAAAUGCCUCAAAAUGUCAGCACAAUAAUCAGGUCACCUGCUGAACCAAAAACAGAGCAGCAGCAAAAUCGAACCUCAUAAGUUCCUACUCACUCAACAAUCUGCAAAACCAUUUUACAGAGAUAUUCUUGAGACAUAUACCUACAACUUUCAUGUUUGAAAAUUUUCGAGAUAAAGCCUCUAAGGUCACGAAAUCAUAAGUGAAAAAUCUGCCCAGAAAUUUCAGCUUCAAGAUCACAAGUAAAAGCAUGUUUACUCUUGAUUAAACAAUUCCAAAACACAUAAUCAUCAACAAUUUCAUAUCAUUAACCCUAAUUUACAGCAAAAUCAAGCAAUUAAAAUUACUCACCUUUGUUUUCCUUAAUCACAAUCAUUUCACUUCACAACACAUCACAAUCAAUUCACUUCACAACACAUCACAAUCAAUUCACUUUAUAACAAGCCAAUAACAUAACUAAUAUCAACUCAGUCAACCAAGAAAUUAUCAAGUAAUCAAACAGCAGUCCCUACUCAAUAUACACAAAGUUUAGUCUAUUAAAUACUUACCAAAAGUUAUAGGAUAACAAAAUAAUCCUAUUCUUU
RNAcentral lists this long non-coding RNA (3375 nucleotides) under Ricinus communis (castor bean). Its description in RNAcentral is "long non-coding RNA (RCOM_LNC001224)". The record is from RNAcentral. Lineage: Eukaryota; Viridiplantae; Streptophyta; Magnoliopsida; Malpighiales; Euphorbiaceae.